CUGCCUUGAUCCACUUGGCUACAUCCGCC
RNAcentral lists this transfer RNA (29 nucleotides) under Timonius korrensis. RNAcentral describes it as "partial tRNA-His". The record is from RNAcentral. RNAcentral also lists the same sequence under 3 other names. Lineage: Eukaryota; Viridiplantae; Streptophyta; Magnoliopsida; Gentianales; Rubiaceae.